AUUGAACGCUGGCGGCAUGCCUAACACAUGCAAGUCGAGCGGAUGAAGGGAGCUUUCUCCUGGAUUCAGCGGCGGACGGGUGGGUAAUGCCUAGGAAUCUGCCUGGUAUUGGGGGAUAACGUCCGGAAACGGGCGCUAAUACCGCAUACGUCCUGAGGUAGAAAGGGGGGGAUCUUCGGACCUCGCGCUAUCAGAUGAGCCUAGGUCGGAUUAGCUAGUUGGUAGGGUAAAGGCCUACCAAGGCGACGAUCCGUAACUGGUCUGAGAGGAUGAUCAGCCACACUGGAACUGAGACACGGUCCAGACUCCUACGGGAGGCAGCAGUGGGGAAUAUUGGACAAUGGGCGAAAGCCUGAUCCAGCCAUGCCGCGUGUGUGAAGAAGGUCUUCGGAUUGUAAAGCACUUUAAGUUGGGAGGAAGGGCAGUAAGUUAAUACAUUGCUGUUUUGACGUUACCAACAGAAUAAGCACCGGCUAACUUCGUG
Molecule: ribosomal RNA, 484 nt
Filed under: uncultured bacterium
Lineage: Bacteria
Description: partial 16S ribosomal RNA
Rfam family: Bacterial small subunit ribosomal RNA
Source: RNAcentral